GCUAAUGUUAAGAUUGUACAGGCGGCGAUUGGUGGAUGGCACUGUCUUGCUGUGGAUGAUCAAGGCCGAGCUUAUGCCUGGGGUGGUAAUGAAUAUGGUCAGUGUGGUGAAGAACCCGAGAAGAAAGAUGACACUGGUAGGCCACCGAGAAGAGAUAUAGCAAUUCCUCAACGAUGUGCUCCAAAGCUAAUAGUUCGUCAGGUUGCUGCAGGAGGUACACACUCUGUGGUACUUACACGUGA
Molecule: unclassified non-coding RNA, 242 nt
Filed under: Hevea brasiliensis (rubber tree)
Lineage: Eukaryota; Viridiplantae; Streptophyta; Magnoliopsida; Malpighiales; Euphorbiaceae
Source: RNAcentral